Molecule: ribosomal RNA, 562 nt
Filed under: Brucella ciceri
Lineage: Bacteria; Pseudomonadati; Pseudomonadota; Alphaproteobacteria; Hyphomicrobiales; Brucellaceae
Description: bacterial SSU rRNA
Rfam family: Bacterial small subunit ribosomal RNA
Source: RNAcentral
CGAGCGGGCCCUUCGGGGUCAGCGGCAGACGGGUGAGUAACGCGUGGGAACGUACCAUUUGCUACGGAAUAACUCAGGGAAACUUGUGCUAAUACCGUAUGAGCCCCCCUUUAAAAUUUCAGGAAUCAUAAAAUGCCCUGGCAUUUUAUGGGGGGGAAAGAUUUAUCGGCAAAUGAUCGGCCCGCGUUGGAUUAGCUAGUUGGUGGGGUAAAGGCCUACCAAGGCGACGAUCCAUAGCUGGUCUGAGAGGAUGAUCAGCCACACUGGGACUGAGACACGGCCCAGACUCCUACGGGAGGCAGCAGUGGGGAAUAUUGGACAAUGGGCGCAAGCCUGAUCCAGCCAUGCCGCGUGAGUGAUGAAGGCCCUAGGGUUGUAAAGCUCUUUCACCGGUGAAGAUAAUGACGGUAACCGGAGAAGAAGCCCCGGCUAACUUCGUGCCAGCAGCCGCGGUAAUACGAAGGGGGCUAGCGUUGUUCGGAUUUACUGGGCGUAAAGCGCACGUAGGCGGGCUAAUAAGUCAGGGGUGAAAUCCCGGGGCUCAACCCCGGAACUGCCUUUG